GAUAAACGCUGGUGGCGUGCUUAACACAUGCAAGUCGAACGAAGUUUUUCCUUCGGGAGAAACUUAGUGGCGGACGGGUGAGUAACGCGUGGGUAACCUGCCCUGUACAGGGGGACAACAGCUGGAAACGGCUGCUAAUACCGCAUAAGCACUUAGCACUGCAUGGUGCAUAGGGAAAAGGAGCAAUCCGGUACAGGAUGGACCCGCGUCUGAUUAGCCAGUUGGCAGGGUAACGGCCUACCAAAGCGAUGAUCAGUAGCCGAUCUGAGAGGAUGUACGGCCACAUUGGGACUGAGACACGGCCCAGACUCCUACGGGAGGCAGCAGUGGGGAAUAUUGCACAAUGGAGGAAACUCUGAUGCAGCGACGCCGCGUGAGUGAAGAAGUAUUUCGGUAUGUAAAGCUCUAUCAGCAGGGAAGAAAAUGACGGUACCUGACUAAGAAGCACCGGCUAAAUACGUG
RNAcentral lists this ribosomal RNA (462 nucleotides) under uncultured bacterium. RNAcentral's name for it is "partial 16S ribosomal RNA". It matches the Rfam family "Bacterial small subunit ribosomal RNA", at positions 28 to 507 of the family's 1533-position model. The record is from RNAcentral.